UCCGGUUGAUCCCGCCGGACCCGACUGCUAUUUGGGUGAGGAUAAGCCAUGCGAGUUGUAUGGGAUACCUAAAUUUCCCAUGGCAAACUGCUUAGUAACACAUGAUCAACUUACCCUAUGGAGAAAAAUAACCUCGGGAAACUGAGGAUAAUGUUUCAUAGGUGAAUAGGCUUGGAAAAGUUUUUCAUCGAAAAGGAUAAGAAAAAUGGUUUUUAUCUGCCAUAGGAUAGGAUCGUGGUCGAUUAUGGUUGUUGGUGAGGUAACGGCUCACCAAGCCGACAAUCGAUAGGGGCCGUGAGAGCGGGAGCCCCAAGAUGGGUACUGAGACAGCGACCCAGGCCUUACGAGGCGCAGCAGGCGCGGAACCUCCGCAAUACACGAAAGUGUGACGGGGUUACCCAAAGUGUUCUUUUAAGAACUGUGGUAGGUGAGUAAUAUCCCCCACUAGAAAGGAGAGGGCAAGGCUGGUGCCAGCCGCCGCGGUAAAACCAGCUCUUCAAGUGGUCGGGAUAAUUAUUGGGCUUAAAGUGUCCGUAGCCGGUUUAGUAAGUUCCUGGUAAAAUCGGGUAGCUUAACUAUCCGCAUGCUAGGAAUACUGCUAUAAUAGAGGGCGGGAGAGGUCUGAGGUACUACAGGGGUAGGGGUGAAAUCUUAUAAUCCUUGUAGGACCACCAGUGGCGAAGGCGUCAGACUGGAACGCGYCUGACGGUGAGGGACGAAAGCCAGGGGAGCGAACCGGGAUUAGAUACCCCGGGUAGUCCUGGCCGUWAACGAUGCAUACUA
RNAcentral lists this ribosomal RNA (783 nucleotides) under uncultured archaeon. RNAcentral describes it as "bacterial SSU rRNA". The record is from RNAcentral.